This is a long non-coding RNA of Ziziphus jujuba (common jujube), 591 nucleotides long. RefSeq lists it as uncharacterized. Lineage: Eukaryota; Viridiplantae; Streptophyta; Magnoliopsida; Rosales; Rhamnaceae. The record is from RefSeq and is a predicted model, not a curated record. The transcript is spliced from 2 exons.
UGGCCGAACGUGACCUUUUCAAUAUAUAUAUAUUAAAUAUAAAAAAAUUAAGAAACAAAAAUUAACACAUUGGCAAACUGCGUAAACUUAUUAUUAUUAUUAUUAUUAUUUUGUUUUCCAAAGGAAGAAGAGAUUGAUAUUUUUUCACUCCUUAGAAAUGCCACGUCCGUAAUUCCCGCUACUCUCCCAACCGAUCCUUGUUGAGUCAAGAAAGAAAAUUUCCGAUGAAUCCCACAGCAACCCACUCGGAAUGUCAGAUCCUUUCUCUCUCUCUCUCUCUCUCUCUCUCUGUGUUCAAGCUGCGAGAACACUCAUGGUCUCAUUAUGCUUCCAUGCCGAUUCAUGAUGUUGAAGAUAGAAGUGGUAUUGGUAGAAUUCAUGAUGGAACAUUAUUUCUGUGUUCAUUUAUCUGUGAGGUGUUGGUCUUGGCCAUGACUAGCCCCACAGUUUUGUUUGCUUUGUACUUAGCUUAGUUAGUUUUCUUUCUGGCAAAUAUACAUACAUAAGAAAAACAAAAAAUGCAUAAUAGAUGGAAAUUGCCUUGUGUUGUAUGACUCACAAUAUCACACAAAAUCAUAACUUAUUCGUCCA